UACGGAGGGUGCAAGCGUUACUCGGAAUUAUUGGGCGUAAAGGGCGCGUAGGCGAUUUGAAAAGUCUUGUGUGAAAGCCCCGAGCUUAACUCGGGAAGUGCACAAGAAACUGUUGAAUUUGAGUUCCGGAGAGGAAGGCAGAAUUCCCGGUGUAGCGGUGAAAUGCGUAGAUAUCGGGAGGAAUACCAGUGGCGAAGGCGGCCUUCUGGACGGAUACUGACGCUGAGGCGCGAAAGCCAGGGGAGCAAACGGG
RNAcentral lists this ribosomal RNA (253 nucleotides) under uncultured bacterium. RNAcentral describes it as "partial 16S ribosomal RNA". It matches the Rfam family "Bacterial small subunit ribosomal RNA", at positions 524 to 776 of the family's 1533-position model. The record is from RNAcentral.